This 508-nucleotide ribosomal RNA is filed under the name uncultured bacterium. Its description in RNAcentral is "partial 16S ribosomal RNA". It matches the Rfam family "Bacterial small subunit ribosomal RNA", at positions 30 to 523 of the family's 1533-position model. The record is from RNAcentral.
AUUGAACGCUGGCGGCAGGCCUAACACAUGCAAGUCGAGCGGCAGCGGGAAAGUAGCUUGCUACUUUUGCCGGCGAGCGGCGGACGGGUGAGUAAUGCCUGGGAAAUUGCCCAGUCGAGGGGGAUAACAGUCGGAAACGACUGCUAAUACCGCAUACGCCCUACGGGGGAAAGCAGGGGACCUUCGGGCCUUGCGCGAUUGGAUAUGCCCAGGUGGGAUUAGCUAGUUGGUGAGGUAAUGGCUCACCAAGGCGACGAUCCCUAGCUGGUCUGAGAGGAUGAUCAGCCACACUGGAACUGAGACACGGUCCAGACUCCCACGGGAGGCAGCAGUGGGGAAUAUUGCACAAUGGGGGAAACCCUGAUGCAGCCAUGCCGCGUGUGUGAAGAAGGCCUUCGGGUUGUAAAGCACUUUCAGCGAGGAGGAAAGGUUGAUGCCUAAUACGUAUCAACUGUGACGUUACUCGCAGAAGAAGCACCGGCUAACUCCGUGCCAGCCGCCGCCGUAA